This 253-nucleotide ribosomal RNA is filed under the name uncultured Actinomycetales bacterium. Its description in RNAcentral is "partial 16S ribosomal RNA". It matches the Rfam family "Bacterial small subunit ribosomal RNA", at positions 77 to 334 of the family's 1533-position model. The record is from RNAcentral. Lineage: Bacteria; Bacillati; Actinomycetota; Actinomycetes; Actinomycetales.
UUUUCGGAGGUACUCGAGUGGCGAACGGGUGAGUAACACGUGGGUGAUCUGCCCUGCACUCUGGGAUAAGCCUGGGAAACUGGGUCUAAUACCGGAUAGGACCGCACUUUAGUGUGUGUGGUGGAAAGUUUUUUCGGUGUAGGAUGAGCCCGCGGCCUAUUAGCUUGUUGGUGGGGUAAUGGCCUACCAAGGCGGCGACGGGUAGCCGGACUGAGAGGUUGGUCGGCCACAUUGGGACUGAGAUACGGCCCAG